ACAGGAGCGAGUAGUGAUCUUCAUACAGCUACUGAACUUGCCCAUUAUAUGGUGUCAAAUUGUGGGAUGAGUGAUGUAAUCGGACCGGUUCAUGUCAAAGAGCGGCCAAGUUCAGAGUUGCAGUCACGUAUUGAUGCCGAAGUGGUGAAACUCCUAAGAGAAGCAUAUGAUCGUGUAAAAGCCCUGCUAAAGAAGCAAGAGAAGGCACUACAUGCAUUAGCAAAUGCACUUUUAGAGUAUGAAAC
This 245-nucleotide unclassified non-coding RNA is filed under the name Hevea brasiliensis (rubber tree). Lineage: Eukaryota; Viridiplantae; Streptophyta; Magnoliopsida; Malpighiales; Euphorbiaceae. The record is from RNAcentral.